This 460-nucleotide ribosomal RNA is filed under the name uncultured bacterium. RNAcentral describes it as "partial 16S ribosomal RNA". It matches the Rfam family "Bacterial small subunit ribosomal RNA", at positions 338 to 795 of the family's 1533-position model. The record is from RNAcentral.
CCUACGGGUGGCAGCAGUGAGGAAUAUUGGUCAAUGGGCGAGAGCCUGAACCAGCCAAGUCGCGUGAAGGAUGACGGCCCUACGGGUUGUAAACUUCUUUUGUCAGGGAGCAAUUGGGUCCACGCGUGGGCUUAGCGAGAGUACCUGAAGAAAAAGCAUCGGCUAACUCCGUGCCAGCAGCCGCGGUAAUACGGAGGAUGCGAGCGUUAUCCGGAUUUAUUGGGUUUAAAGGGUGCGUAGGCGGAAGAUAAAGUCAGCGGUAAAAGUUCGGGGCCCAAGCCCGUCGUGCCGUUGAAACUGAUGAUCUUGAGUGGGCGAGAGGUAUGCGGAAUGCGUGGUGUAGCGGUGAAAUGCAUAGAUAUCACGAAGAACUCCGGUUGCGAAGGCAGCAUACCGGCGCCCAACUGACGCUGAGGAACGAAAGCGUGGGUAUCGAACAGGAUUAGAUACCCCAGUAGUC